UCGGGUGGGAGUAGAGUGGCGAACGGGCGAGUAAUACUUUCCUAACGUGCCCCGAAGUCGAGGAUAGCCCCGGGAAACUGGGGGUAAUACUCGAUGACCCCGUCGGAUCGCAUGGUCUGACGGGCAAAGCUCCGGCGCUUCGGGAUCGGGGAAAGCGCUAUCAGGUUGUUGGUGGGGUAACGGCCUACCAAGCCAGAGACGGCUAGCGGGUGUAAGAGCAUGACCCGCCGCAUCGGGACUGAGACACUGCCCGGACUCCUACGGGAGGCUGCAGUAACGGAUCUUCCGCAAUGCGCGAAAGCGUGACGGAGCAAUGCCGCGUGCGGGACGAAGGCCCUCGGGUUGUAAACCGCUGUCAGGGGUUAGGAACUCUGACCAGCCCCAGAGGAAGGACCGGCUAAGUUCGUGCCAGCAGCCGCGGUAAUACGAACGGUCCAAGCGUUGCGCGGAAUCACUGGGCUUAAAGCGUGCGUAGGCGGAGACGCAAGCGUCUUGUGAAAGCCCACGGCUCAACCGUGGAAUUGCAGGGCGAACUGCGCCUCUUGAGGCCGGGAGAGGGUGCCGGAACUGUAGGUGUAGCGGUGAAAUGCGUAGAUAUCUACAGGAACGCCAAUGGUGAAGACAGGCACCUGGCCCGGUUCUGACGCUGAGGCACGAAAGCGUGGGUAGCGAACAGGAUUAGAUACCCUGGUAGUCCACGCCGUAAACACUGUGCACUAGGUCUCGGAGGUUCUGACGCCAUCGGGGCCGAAGCGAAAGCGAUAAGUGCACCGCCUGGGGAGUACGGUCGCAAGGCUAAAACUCAAAGGAAUUGA
This 815-nucleotide ribosomal RNA is filed under the name uncultured bacterium. RNAcentral's name for it is "bacterial SSU rRNA". It matches the Rfam family "Bacterial small subunit ribosomal RNA", at positions 80 to 913 of the family's 1533-position model. The record is from RNAcentral.